UAGUACUGUUUAUUAACCCUGUUAGUAACCCUACUGUUUAUUAACCCUGUUAGUAACCCUACUGUUCAUUAACCCUGUUAGUAACCCUAAUACAUAGUACUGUUCAUUAACCCUGUUAGUAACCCUACUACAUAGUACUGUUUAUUAACCCUGUUAGUAACCCUACUGUUUAUUAACCCUGUUAGUAACCCUACUGUUUAUUAACCCUGUUAGUAACCCUACUGUUCAUUAACCCUGUUAGUAACCCUAAUACAUAGUACUGUUCAUUAACCCUGUUAGUAACCCUACCACAUAGUACUGUUUAUUAACCCUGUUAGUAACCCUACUACAUAGUACUGUUUAUUAACCCUGUUAGUAACCCUACUGUUUAUUAACCCUGUUAGUAACCCUAAUACAUAGUACUGUUCAUUAACCCUGUUAGUAACCCUACUACAUAGUACUGUUCAUUAACCCUGUUAGUAACCCUACUGUUUAUUAACCCUGUUAGUAACCCUACUGUUUAUUAACCCUGUUAGUAACCCUACUGUUUAUUAACCCUGUUAGUAACCCUAAUACAUAGUACUGUUUAUUAACCCUGUUAGUAACCCUAAUACAUAGUACUUACUUUAUUAAGCCUUCACCUGUAAAACACGGUUUCAAACAACAUAAAUUAGCUGGCUUUACAUUCAUUAACAUCAAUGCACAGUCAGAGAGAGAAAUGGUGUGUGUGAGAGUGUGUGUGUGAGAGAGAAAGGGUGUGUGUGAGUGUGUGUGUGUCAGAGAGAGAAAGGGUGUGUGUGAGAGUGUGUGUGUAGGAGAGAAAGGGUGUGUGUGAGUGUGUGUGUGUCAGAGAGAGAAAGGGUGUGUGUGAGUGUGUGUGUGUGUCAGAGAGAGAAAGGGUGUGUGUGAGUGUGUGUGUGUCAGAGAGAGAAAGGGUGAGUGUGAGAGUGUGUGUGUGAGAGAGAAAGGGUGUGUGUGAGUGUGUGUGUGUGUGUGAGAGAGAAAGGGUGUGUGUGUGAGUGUGUGUGUGUCAGAGAGAGAAAGGGUGUGUUGUGUGUGUGUGUGUCAGAGAGAGAAAGGGUGUGUGUGAGUGUGUGUGUGUCAGAGAGAGAAAGGGUGUGUGUGAGUGUGUGUGUGUCAGAGAGAGAAGGGGUGUGUGUGAGUGUGUGUGUCAGAGAGAGAAAGGGUGUGUGUGAGUGUGUGUGUGUCAGAGAGAGAAAGGGUGUGUGUGAGUGUGUGUGUCAGAGAGAGAAAGGGAGUGUGUGAGUGUGUGUGUCAGAGAGAGAAAGGGAGUGUGUGUGAGUGUGUGUGUCAGAGAGAGAAAGGGUGUGUGUGAGUGUGUGUGUCAGAGAGAGAAAGGGUGUGUGUGAGUGUGUGUGUCAGAGAGAGAAAGAGUGUGUGUGUGUCAGAGAG
Molecule: long non-coding RNA, 1392 nt
Organism: Oncorhynchus keta (chum salmon)
Lineage: Eukaryota; Metazoa; Chordata; Actinopteri; Salmoniformes; Salmonidae
Exons: 5
Source: RefSeq, a predicted model, not a curated record